GAUGAACGCUGGCGGCGUGCCUAAUACAUGCAAGUCGAGCGAACGGACGAGAAGCUUGCUUUUCUGAUGUUAGCGGCGGACGGGUGAGUAACACGUGGAUAGCCUACCUAUAAGACUGGGAUAACUUCGGGAAACCGGAGCUAAUACCGGAUAAUAUUUUGAACCGCAUGGUUCAAAAGUGAAAGACGGUCUUGCUGUCACUUAUAGAUGGAUCCGCGCUGCAUUGGCUAGUUGGUAAGGUAACGGCUUACCAAGGCAACGAUGCAUAGCCGACCUGAGAGGGUGAUCGGCCACACUGGAACUGAGACACGGUCCAGACUCCUACGGGAGGCAGCAGUAGGGAAUCUUCCGCAAUGGGCGAAAGCCUGACGGAGCAACGCCGCGUGAGUGAUGAAGGUCUUCGGAUCGUAAAACUCUGUUAUUAGGGAAGAACAUAUGUGUAAGUAACUGUGCACAUCUUGACGGUACCUAAUCAGAAAGCCACGGCUAACUACGUG
This 497-nucleotide ribosomal RNA is filed under the name uncultured bacterium. RNAcentral describes it as "partial 16S ribosomal RNA". It matches the Rfam family "Bacterial small subunit ribosomal RNA", at positions 28 to 507 of the family's 1533-position model. The record is from RNAcentral.